This is a microRNA precursor of Bison bison bison, 105 nucleotides long. NCBI's taxonomy places the organism in Eukaryota, Metazoa, Chordata, Mammalia, Artiodactyla, Bovidae. The record is from Ensembl.
UUUACCUUCUUGUAUAAGCACUGUGCUAAAAUUACAGAAACCAAGAUAGCCUUGGUUUUUGUAAUAAUGCUAGCAGAGUAUUACACAAGAAGAAGAGGAACUGCA